UACGGAAGGCAGCAGUGGGGAAUAUUGCGCAAUGGGCGAAAGCCUGACGCAGCGACGCCGCGUGAGGGACGACGGCCUUCGGGUUGUAAACCUCUUUCAGCUCUGACGAAGCGAAAAGUGACGGUAGGAGCAGAAGAAGCACCGGCCAACUACGUGCCAGCAGCCGCGGUAAUACGUAGGGUGCAAGCGUUGUCCGGAAUUAUUGGGCGUAAAGAGCUCGUAGGCGGUCUGUCGCGUCGAAUGUGAAAACCCGGGGCUCAACCCCGGGCCUGCAUUCGAUACGGGCAGACUAGAGUUCGGUAGGGGAGACUGGAAUUCCUGGUGUAGCGGUGAAAUGCGCAGAUAUCAGGAGGAACACCGGUGGCGAAGGCGGGUCUCUGGGCCGAUACUGACGCUGAGGGAGCGAAAGCGUGGGGAGCAAACAGGGAUUAGAUACC
RNAcentral lists this ribosomal RNA (437 nucleotides) under uncultured bacterium. RNAcentral's name for it is "bacterial SSU rRNA". It matches the Rfam family "Bacterial small subunit ribosomal RNA", at positions 340 to 786 of the family's 1533-position model. The record is from RNAcentral.